Molecule: long non-coding RNA, 281 nt
Filed under: Elaeis guineensis (African oil palm)
Lineage: Eukaryota; Viridiplantae; Streptophyta; Magnoliopsida; Arecales; Arecaceae
Description: long non-coding RNA (EGUI_LNC020644)
Source: RNAcentral
CACCCAAUGGAAUAGUAACAAGUUGUUCAGCUGGUUCACCUCUUUGCUGAUCUCUGGAUCAUCCUUUUGAUUAGGUAGUUCAAUUGGUAGAACUUCUAUUAGUUUCUUCAUUUUGGUAGCUAUCAAAAAGCAUUGCCUAGCAAGUAUUUGAUCUCCAUGCAUUUUUUCAAUUUCAUCUUUUGUUGAAAAUAGAACUAAUAGAUAAUAGGUGGAGACUACCGCUUUAAGGGCAUUGAGUUCGGGAUAGCCAACAAUGGCAUUAUAGGUUGAUGGGUAUCUUG